AGCAGCCGCGGUAAUUCCAGCUCCAAUAGCGUAUAUUAAAGUUGUUACAGUUAAAAAGCUCGUAGUUGAAUUUCGAGACCGGUUUACUGGUCGUGCUUUUGUACGUACUGGUAUUAUUGGUUUCUCCUUUCUGACGAAUCAUAAUGCCAUUAAUUUGGUGUUUUGGGGAAUCAGGACUGUUACUUUGAAAAAAUUAGAGUGUUUAAAGCAGGCUCACGCUUGAAUACAUUAGCAUGGAAUAACGAAAUAGGACGUUCGAUUUUAUUUUGUUGGUUUCUAGGAUCGACGUAAUGAUUAAUAGGGAUAGUUGGGGGCAUUAGUAUUCAAUUGUCAGAGGUGAAAUUCUUGGAUUUAUUGAAGACUAACUACUGCGAAAGCAUUUGCCAAGGAUGUUUUCAUUAAUCAAGAACGAAAGUUAGGGGAUCGAAGACGAUCAGAUACCGUCGUAGUCUUAACCAUAAACUAUGCCGACUAG
Molecule: ribosomal RNA, 475 nt
Filed under: uncultured Glomus
Lineage: Eukaryota; Fungi; Glomeromycota; Glomeromycetes; Glomerales; Glomeraceae
Description: SSU rRNA
Rfam family: Eukaryotic small subunit ribosomal RNA
Source: RNAcentral